GAUGAACGCUGGUGGCGUGCCUAAUACAUGCAAGUAGAACGCUGAAGCUUGGUGCUUGCACCGAGCGGAAGAGUUGCGAACGGGUGAGUAACGCGUAGGUAACCUGCCUCUUAGCGGGGGAUAACUAUUGGAAACGAUAGCUAAUACCGCAUAAAAGUCGACAUUGCAUGAUGUUGACUUGAAAGGUGCAACUGCAUCACUAAGAGAUGGACCUGCGUUGUAUUAGCUAGUUGGUGAGGUAACGGCUCACCAAGGCGAGGAUACAUAGCCGACCUGAGAGGGUGAUCGGCCACACUGGGACUGAGACACGGCCCAGACUCCUACGGGAGGCAGCAGUAGGGAAUCUUCGGCAAUGGACGAAAGUCUGACCGAGCAACGCCGCGUGAGUGAAGAAGGUUUUCGGAUCGUAAGGCUCUGUUGUAAGAGAAGAACGAGUGUGAGAGUGGAAAGUUCACACUG
This 459-nucleotide ribosomal RNA is filed under the name Streptococcus parasanguinis. RNAcentral's name for it is "bacterial SSU rRNA". It matches the Rfam family "Bacterial small subunit ribosomal RNA", at positions 28 to 471 of the family's 1533-position model. The record is from RNAcentral. Lineage: Bacteria; Bacillati; Bacillota; Bacilli; Lactobacillales; Streptococcaceae.